Molecule: signal recognition particle RNA, 295 nt
Filed under: Callithrix jacchus (white-tufted-ear marmoset)
Lineage: Eukaryota; Metazoa; Chordata; Mammalia; Primates; Cebidae
Description: Metazoan signal recognition particle RNA (ENSCJAG00000080223.1)
Rfam family: Metazoan signal recognition particle RNA
About the family: The signal recognition particle (SRP) is a universally conserved ribonucleoprotein.
Source: Rfam by way of RNAcentral
GCCAGGCACAGUGGCCCAUGUCUGUGUUCUCAGCUACCCCAGAGGUUGAGGCAGAAGGAUCAUGUGAGUCCAGUUCUGGGCUGUAGUGCAUUGUGUGCAUUGGGUGUCUGUGCUAAAUUCAACAUCAACAUGGUGACUUCCUGGGAGCCGGGAACGAUCAGAUUGCCUAAAGAGUGGUGAACCAACCCAGGACAGAAAUUGAGCAGGUCAAAAUUCGUGCUGAUCAGUAGUUGAAUAGUGCCUAUGGAUAGCCACUGCACUCAAGCCUGAACUAUAUAGCAAGACCACGUCUCUA